UCAAAGCAUCAAGCUUGGCUUGUCGUUGGGCAGUUUAUCACCUGGUGAUAGGUCCAAAAGAUAAUGAGCGGUGUCGUAAGGACUCUAUAUGCAACAAGCUUCUGACAGCACGCAUCUAGUGGUCGUAUGGCCCGGUCUACCCCUUUAUUUCUCAA
This 155-nucleotide unclassified non-coding RNA is filed under the name uncultured Herpotrichiellaceae. RNAcentral describes it as "sequence contains ITS2". Lineage: Eukaryota; Fungi; Ascomycota; Eurotiomycetes; Chaetothyriales; Herpotrichiellaceae. The record is from RNAcentral.